Molecule: long non-coding RNA, 1370 nt
Organism: Helianthus annuus (common sunflower)
Lineage: Eukaryota; Viridiplantae; Streptophyta; Magnoliopsida; Asterales; Asteraceae
Exons: 5
Source: RefSeq, a predicted model, not a curated record
UAGGGUUUCAUGAGAGUAUGAGGAUGAGCUUGGUAAGACGAUGCGACGGUGCGACGGUGUUGAGGACCUAACCAUCGCCUCCAACAAUGGUGGCUAGGGUUUCUUACAGACCUGACGUAUAAUUUUAGGAGAGUUUUGGUAAAUUGGCGACCAUACAUACGAUAUCAGGUGAGUUCUGGUUUCGAUCGUUUAAUUUCCGGCCAUAUGAGUUUUGCUUUACGACUUUGCUUUUUGUUCUAAGCAAGUGUACGUCUCUUCUCUAGCCUUUCUCAAGAUGCUUAAACACAGUAAGUACCAAAUAAUAGGGCUUCAUUAUGUUAAAUUGUUCUUUUCAUACUUUUGUAUACGUUGGAUUACAGUUGUAAAGUGCACAAGUAUAAUGUCUUAUCCAUGAAUAUUAGACAUGUUUGAGGGGUACACCAAAAAGAAGCUCAUUGUUACCAAGAACCAGUUGGUAGUGCAUAUGGGAAGGAAAUCGAUAUUUGGAGUGCAGGGGUAAUGUUGUAUAUUCUAUUAAGCGGUGUGCCUCCAUGUAGGGAUUGGAUGUUAGUUUGAAUUUGGGUUCCUCUUCGUUGGCUGAUGGUUCGAAAUGGACGGAUUGGAUCGUGGCGGUCAUUAUAAACAGCCGAAAGUUAAUUCCUUGGCAAUGUGAGACCUUCUUACUGUUAACUUUUUUUUGUUUUGAUAGGCUUUGUGAUUAUUGUUAAAAUAUGACUGAUUAAGGUUAAAAACUUAAAUGGUAUUUGACGGUUUUUUUCAAGAAUUAAUUAAUAUUUUUGGAUAAAAGAAUAUUAAUCGAUCUACCCUACACUAAACGAUAAAGACAAGGAGGCAAGAUGCUAAACCAUCUCAGUAUUGAGUUAUUUACAACCAAUCAAUUAAUAUGGGUGUUUACUUGUACCAAUAAUUGUUUUAAAUGAACCAAUGGGUUGUCGUGCAUCGUAUGUUUUAGUUUUUCUUUUUCUGUUUUUUAUGGACCCAGAAAUUGCAUAAAUAGAAUGUAAUACCAGCAUCUGUAGUAGGCGGUAACAGAUCUGUUUGUUUGUCUUUCUUGAUUUGACAACAUUGGCGAGCUACUUUUGUUUAAUGUUAGGUUAUCAGCACACGGAGAGUAAAAAAACAAUGUUGACUUCCCGAAGUGGGCAAGAUAUUCGAGAAGCUCGUGAAUAUCUUUCUACACUAAGUGACCUCAGUUAAACUCAAAAUUUUGCAGAGAUUGAAAAUGUAGAGGGCCUUGUGAAUUUUGAUGAAAUUCUACAGGAAGCUGAUGGCAUUAUCCUUGCUAGAGGGAAUUUACGGAUUGACCUUCCACCAGAUAAGGUAUUUCUGUUUCAAAAAGCAGCUGUGUACAAAUGUAAUAUGGCUGGGAA